RNAcentral lists this ribosomal RNA (442 nucleotides) under uncultured bacterium. Its description in RNAcentral is "partial 16S ribosomal RNA". It matches the Rfam family "Bacterial small subunit ribosomal RNA", at positions 338 to 795 of the family's 1533-position model. The record is from RNAcentral.
CCUACGGGAGGCAGCAGUAGGGAAUCUUUCACAAUGGGCGAAAGCCUGAUGGAGCAACGCCGCGUGCAGGAUGAAGGCCUUCGGGUUGUAAACUUCUUUUAUAAGCGAGAAAUAUGAUGGUAACUUAUGAAUAAGGAUCGGCUAACUACGUGCCAGCAGCCGCGGUCAUACGUAGGAUCCGAGCAUUAUCCGGAGUGACUGGGUGUAAAGAGUUGCGUAGGUGGCAUAAUAAGUAGCUAGGGAAAUCUGGUGGCUCAACCAUUCAGACUAUUAGCUAAAAUGUUAAGCUCGAGACCGUUAGGGGUAACUGGAAUUUCUAGUGUAGGAGUGAAAUCCGUAGAUAUUAGAAGGAACACCAAUAGCGUAGGCAGGUUGCUGGGACGGUUCUGACACUAAGGCACGAAAGCGUAGGGAGCAAACGGGAUUAGAUACCCCUGUAGUC